CAGCCUUCCUGAGUUCAAAUCCAUCUUCCUUCUCCCUACGUUCUAGCCAUAUAUCUUUGAGCAAGUCACUGUCUGUGCAUCAGUUUCCCUCUUUAAUUGGGGGCAGUGAUAAUAUUUACUUCAAAGUCCUAUUGGAGGGAACAGAAUGCCACUUCAUGAGGAACACAGAGUAAACACAGCAAUUUACAGGCAUCUUUCUGCUGCUCAGAGGAAGAUUCAGAAAUCACAUUGAUCUGAAACAGCAUCAUCUGGGAGCUUGUCAGAGAUCCACAGUCUCAAGCCUCCACCCCAGAACCACUGAGACAGAGUCUGAAGUUUUAAAGUCUCCAGGAGAUUUGUACACAUGUCAAGUCUAAGAAGCAAAGCGGUAGAACACAUUUU
Molecule: long non-coding RNA, 381 nt
Filed under: Sus scrofa (pig)
Lineage: Eukaryota; Metazoa; Chordata; Mammalia; Artiodactyla; Suidae
Description: lncRNA (ENSSSCG00050036266.1)
Source: RNAcentral